UACGUAGGAGGCAAGCGUUGUCCGGAAUUACUGGGCGUAAAGCGCGUGUAGGUGGUGGGACAAGUCUGCUGUGAAAGCGCCUGGCUUAACCGGGCGAGGUCGGCGGAAACUGUCCGACUCGAGGACGGUAGAGGGGGGGUGGAAUUCCCGGUGUAGUGGUGAAAUGCGUAGAGAUCGGGAGGAACACCUGUGGCGAAGGCGGCCCCCCUGGGCCGGCCCUGACACUGAGACGCGAAGGCGUGGGGGGAGCGAACGGG
This 257-nucleotide ribosomal RNA is filed under the name uncultured bacterium. RNAcentral's name for it is "partial 16S ribosomal RNA". It matches the Rfam family "Bacterial small subunit ribosomal RNA", at positions 524 to 776 of the family's 1533-position model. The record is from RNAcentral.